GUGGUGGCGAGUGGCGACCGGGUGAGUAAUAUAUCGGCACGUAUCCAAUAAUGGGGGAUACCUAGUCGAAAGAUUAGCUAAUCCGCAUACGCCCUGAGGGGGAAAGCUGGGGAUCUUCGGACCUAGCGUUAAUGGACCGGCCGAUAUCUGAUUAGCUAGUCGGUGAGGUAAAAGCUCACCUAGGCGACGAUCAGUAGCUGGUCUGAGAGGCCGCCCAGCCCCUGGAACUGAGACCCGGUCCAGACUCCUACGGGGGGCAGCAGUGGGGAAUUUUGGACAAUGGGCGCAAGCCUGAUCCAGCCAUUCCGCGUGAGUGAAGAAGGCCUUCGGGUUGUAAAGCUCUUUCGCGAGGGAAGAAAACUUAACCUCUAACAUAGGUUGAGGCUGACGGU
RNAcentral lists this ribosomal RNA (392 nucleotides) under uncultured bacterium. RNAcentral describes it as "bacterial SSU rRNA". It matches the Rfam family "Bacterial small subunit ribosomal RNA", at positions 85 to 476 of the family's 1533-position model. The record is from RNAcentral.